CAGGACGAAGGCGUCGGGGGUAUAAACUGCUUUUGUACGGAACGAAAAUGCCUUUGUUAAUACCACGGGUAAAUGACGGUACCGUAAGAAUAAGCACCGGCUAACUACGUGCCAGCAGCCGCGGUAAUACGUAGGGUGCAAGCGUUAAUCGGAAUUACUGGGCGUAAAGCGUGCGCAGGCGGUCUUGUAAGACAGGUGUGAAAUCCCCGGGCUUAACCUGGGAACUGCACUUGUGACUGCAAGGCUUGAGUGCGGCAGAGGGAGAUGGAAUUCCGCGUGUAGCAGUGAAAUGCGUAGAUAUGCGGAGGAACACCGAUGGCGAAGGCAGUCUCCUGGGCCUGCACUGACGCUCAUGCACGAAAGCGUGGGGAGCAAGCAGGAUUAGAUACCCUGGUAGUCCACGCCCUAAACGAUGUCAACUGGUUGUCGGGUCUUAGCUGACUCAGUAACGAAGCUAACGCGUGAAGUAGACCGCCUGGGGAGUACGGCCGAAAGGUUGAAACUCAAAGGAAUUGACGGGGACCCAUACAAGCGGUGGAUGAUGUGGUUAAAUUCGAUGAAACGCGAAAAACCUUAA
RNAcentral lists this ribosomal RNA (577 nucleotides) under uncultured bacterium. RNAcentral describes it as "bacterial SSU rRNA". It matches the Rfam family "Bacterial small subunit ribosomal RNA", at positions 404 to 974 of the family's 1533-position model. The record is from RNAcentral.